Molecule: ribosomal RNA, 408 nt
Filed under: uncultured bacterium
Lineage: Bacteria
Description: partial 16S ribosomal RNA
Rfam family: Bacterial small subunit ribosomal RNA
Source: RNAcentral
GACGAACGCUGGCGGCGUGCUUAACACAUGCAAGUCGAACGAAGUGGCGAACGGGUGAGUACCGCGUAAUCAACCUGCCCUUCAGUGGGGGACAACAGUUGGAAUCGACUGCUAAUACCGCAUACUGAAGGCGGGGCUUGCGUCUGAUUAGCUAGUUGGAGGGGUAACGGCCCACCACGGCGAUGAGCAGUAGCCGGUCUGAGAGGAUGAACGGCCACAUUGGGACUGAGACACGGCACAGACUCCUACGGGAGGCAGAAGUGGGGAAUCUGCCGCAAUGGACGAAAGUCUGACGGAGCAACGCCGCGUGAGUGAUGACGGCCUUCGGGUUGUAAAGCUCUGAUAAUCGGGACGCGGUACCGGAAUAGAAAGCCACGGCUAACUACGGGCCAGCAGCCGCGGUAAUAC